RNAcentral lists this ribosomal RNA (134 nucleotides) under Fukomys damarensis (Damara mole-rat). The record is from RNAcentral. Lineage: Eukaryota; Metazoa; Chordata; Mammalia; Rodentia; Bathyergidae.
GUCUACAGCCACACCACCCUGAACACACCUGAUCUCAGAAGCUAAGCAGGGUUGGGCCUGGUUAGUACUUGGGAGGCCACAAUCAGAUCAAGAAUAGAAUCUAAAAAGUGCCAAAGAAGCUGGUACAGUGGCAC